Molecule: ribosomal RNA, 396 nt
Filed under: uncultured bacterium
Lineage: Bacteria
Description: bacterial SSU rRNA
Rfam family: Bacterial small subunit ribosomal RNA
Source: RNAcentral
GACGAACGCUGGCGGCGUGCUUAACACAUGCAAGUCGAGCGGUAAGGCCCUUUCGGGGGUACACGAGCGGCGAACGGGUGAGCAACACGUGGGUGACCUGCCCUCAGCUCUGGGAUAAGCCUGGGAAACCGGGUCUAAUACUGGAUAUGACUCCAUGACGCAUGUUGUGGGGUUGGAAAGCCUUGUGCGGCUGAGGAUGGGCCCGCGGCCUAUCAGCUUGUUGGUGGGGUGAUGGCCGUACCAAGGCGACGACGGGUAGCCGGCCUGAGAGGGCGACCGGGCCACACUGGGACUGAGACACGGCCCAGACUCCUACGGGAGGCGAGCAGUGGGGAAUCUUGCGCAAUGGGCGAAAGCCUGACGCAGCGACGCCGCGUGAGGGAUGACGGCCUGUGU